UCAGUUCGGAUUGGAGUCUGNAACCCGACUCCAUGAAGCUGGAUUCGCUAGUAAUCGCGCAUCAGCCACGGCGCGGUGAAUACGUUCCCGGGCCCUUGUACACACCGCCCGUCAAGUCAUGGAAGCCGGGAGCGCCUGAAGUGCGUGAGCGCAAGCAGCGCCCUAAGGUAAAACCGGUGACUGGGGCUAAGUCGUAACAAGGUAAC
RNAcentral lists this ribosomal RNA (206 nucleotides) under uncultured bacterium. Its description in RNAcentral is "partial 16S ribosomal RNA". It matches the Rfam family "Bacterial small subunit ribosomal RNA", at positions 1288 to 1500 of the family's 1533-position model. The record is from RNAcentral.